This 444-nucleotide ribosomal RNA is filed under the name uncultured bacterium. RNAcentral describes it as "partial 16S ribosomal RNA". It matches the Rfam family "Bacterial small subunit ribosomal RNA", at positions 338 to 795 of the family's 1533-position model. The record is from RNAcentral.
CCUACGGGAGGCAGCAGUGGGGAAUAUUGGGCAAUGGAGGAAACUCUGACCCAGCAAUGCCGCGUGAAUGAAGAAGGUCUUCGGAUUGUAAAGUUCUUUAGUCAGGGAAGAAUAAAAUGACGGUACCUGAAGAAUAAGCUCCGGCUAACUACGUGCCAGGAGCCGCGGGAAUACGUAGGGAGCAAGAGUUGUUCGGAAUGACUUGGUGUAAAGGGUGCGUAGGCGGUUAUACAAGUUAGAAGGGGAAUACCCGGGGCUUAACUCGUGUGUUGCUGCUAAAACUGUGAGACUUGAGUGCGGUAGAGGUUGGUGGAAUGCGUGGUGUAGCGGUGAAAUGCGUAGAUAUUAGGAGGAACACCGGAGGCGAAGGCGGCUAACUGGGCUGCAACUGACGCUGAGGCACGAAAGUGUGGGGAGCAAUCAGGAUUAGAUACCCGAGUAGUC